GAGGAAAUGAGCAGGAAGUAAAAUACAGAAAAUUCUAUUUAAACAUAAUAACUUUUUUCACCAUGAGAGUUGUUAAGCAUGGAAGAGAUGGCCCAGAGAGGUUUGGGAGUCUCCGUUCCUGAGAACAGCUCACAACACAUCUGGAUAUGGUCCUGAAGAACCUGCUGUAGCUGCCUGUUUUGAGCAGGGGCUUUGGACUAGAUGAUCUCCAGAGAUGCCUUCCCACCUCAGCUCUUCUGUGAUUCUGUAAAGCUGAGAAGUAUAGCCAUAUACCCUGA
Molecule: long non-coding RNA, 278 nt
Filed under: Gallus gallus (chicken)
Lineage: Eukaryota; Metazoa; Chordata; Aves; Galliformes; Phasianidae
Source: RNAcentral